AUAUGACUUUUGUAUUACAGUCCACGAAACAGAAAUCCGAAUAAGAAAUUCUGUUAACCCGGGAGAAGGUAUUAGGUAUUCCUGGGUUCCGUGGUUCUAGCACAGUCUCUUAACUGUUGUAUUUGAUUUUAUUAGAUUUUAAUACAUGCUAGCUAAUGUGCCUUUUAAUCGUAAACCGCUUUUAUUAUUAUUUUAAAAGAAUUGCAACGUCGCAAAAA
RNAcentral lists this long non-coding RNA (218 nucleotides) under Nicotiana benthamiana. RNAcentral describes it as "long non-coding RNA (NBEN_LNC042406)". Lineage: Eukaryota; Viridiplantae; Streptophyta; Magnoliopsida; Solanales; Solanaceae. The record is from RNAcentral.